UGUAAUUAUGAUGUAGUCAUGCAGAUAAAGAAAUAUUGUGUAAAGCCAGUUUGGAAUGAAAAACAAGAGCAAAAGACAACUGGAAGAAAAACGGUAGUAGAUAUUCGAUAAGACUUGUUGCCAGUAAUGUAAGUAGCAGGCAGGAGGUCAAAAUACGAACAACAUGUGUUACACUUGACAGGUCGUGGCUGCUUAAAGAGCAGAUGUACUCUAAGCUGUGAUGGAGACUGACUGACUCACUCAAGCUACACAUGUAGGAAACGUCCUCCCGAUCAAGUGUUUAGAGAGCAGAGAUAAGCUUUGGAGAACUGCCACGUGUUGUUUACAAGGAUAUGAGGGCACAACUUUACAUCCUUAGUGUUUAAUUGACAGUUUGGACAUACACCAAGCCGUGCACCACCAAGCCGUGCACACCAACACGCCUGACGAGACAGAAUGGGAUCAUCAGUGCUUUCGACGGCAUACAAAUAUAAGUUGGUAGCGAAGGAGACUUUUUGUAGCCGGCCAUCUUCUUUCGGACGACCUUCUCGAAACUCCUCGUUCUGCG
Pomacea canaliculata is the source of this 547-nucleotide long non-coding RNA. RefSeq lists it as uncharacterized. NCBI's taxonomy places the organism in Eukaryota, Metazoa, Mollusca, Gastropoda, Architaenioglossa, Ampullariidae. The record is from RefSeq and is a predicted model, not a curated record. The transcript has 3 exons.